This 730-nucleotide ribosomal RNA is filed under the name uncultured bacterium. RNAcentral describes it as "bacterial SSU rRNA". It matches the Rfam family "Bacterial small subunit ribosomal RNA", at positions 28 to 776 of the family's 1533-position model. The record is from RNAcentral.
GAUGAACGCUGACAGAAUGCUUAACACAUGCAAGUCGACUUGAAGCAACUUCGGUUGUGGAAAGUGGCGGACGGGUGAGUAACGCGUAAAGAACUUGCCCUUCAGCCUGGGACAACCAUUGGAAACGAUGGCUAAUACCGGAUAUUAUGGAACUCUCGCAUGGGAGGAUCAUGAAAGCUAUAUGCGCUGAAGGAGAGCUUUGCGUUCCAUUAGCUAGUUGGUGAGGUAACGGCUCACCAAGGCGACGAUGGAUAGCCGGCCUGAGAGGGUGAUCGGCCACAAGGGGACUGAGACACGGCCCUUACUCCUACGGGAGGCAGCAGUGGGGAAUAUUGGACAAUGGACCAAAAGUCUGAUCCAGCAAUUCUGUGUGCACGAUGAAGGUUUUCGGAUCGUAAAGUGCUUUCAGUUGGGAAGAAGAAAGUGACGGUACCAACAGAAGAAGCGACGGCUAAAUACGUGCCAGCAGCCGCGGUAAUACGUAUGUCGCAAGCGUUAUCCGGAUUUAUUGGGCGUAAAGCGCGUCUAGGCGGGUUCAUAAGUCUGAUGUUAAAAUGCGGGGCUCAACUCCGUAUUGCGUUGGAAACUGUGAACCUAGAGUAUCAGAGAGGUGGGCGGAACUACAAGUGUAGAGGUGAAAUUCGUAGAUAUUUGUAGGAAUGCCGAUGGAGAAGUCAGCUCACUGGAUGAAUACUGACGCUAAAGCGCGAAAGCGUGGGUAGCAAACAGG